CCUACGGGGGGCAGCAGUGAGGAAUAUUGGUCAAUGGACGAGAGUCUGAACCAGCCAAGUAGCGUGAAGGAUGACUGCCCUAUGGGUUGUAAACUUCUUUUAUAUGGGAAUAAAAUGUUCCACGUGUGGGAUUUUGUAUGUACCAUAUGAAUAAGGAUCGGCUAACUCCGUGCCAGCAGCCGCGGUAAUACGGAGGAUCCGAGCGUUAUCCGGAUUUAUUGGGUUUAAAGGGAGCGUAGGUGGAUUGUUAAGUCAGUUGUGAAAGUUUGCGGCUCAACCGUAAAAUUGCAGUUGAAACUGGCAGUCUUGAGUACAGUAGAGGUGAGCGGAAGUCGUGGUGUAGCGGUGAAAUGCUUAGAUAUCACGAAGAACUCCGAUUGCGAAGGCAGUUCACUGGACUGCAACUGACACUGAGGCUCGAAAGUGUGGGUAUCAAACAGGAUUAGAUACCCUUGUAGUC
This 460-nucleotide ribosomal RNA is filed under the name uncultured bacterium. RNAcentral's name for it is "partial 16S ribosomal RNA". It matches the Rfam family "Bacterial small subunit ribosomal RNA", at positions 338 to 795 of the family's 1533-position model. The record is from RNAcentral.